This 414-nucleotide ribosomal RNA is filed under the name uncultured bacterium. Its description in RNAcentral is "bacterial SSU rRNA". It matches the Rfam family "Bacterial small subunit ribosomal RNA", at positions 32 to 492 of the family's 1533-position model. The record is from RNAcentral.
AACGCUGGCGGCGUGCUUAACACAUGCAAGUCGAACGAACCUUCGGGUUAGUGGCGGACGGGUGAGUAACGCGUGAGAAUCUGCCCUCAGGAGGGGGACAACAGCUGGAAACGGCUGCUAAUACCCCAUAUGCCGCGAGGUGAAAUGAAUUUCGCCUGAGGAUGAGCUCGCGUCUGAUUAGCUAGUUGGUGUAGGUAAUGGCUCACCAAGGCAUCGAUCAGUAGCUGGUCUGAGAGGAUGAUCAGCCACACUGGGACUGAGACACGGCCCAGACUCCUACGGGAGGCAGCAGUGGGGAAUUUUCCGCAAUGGGCGAAAGCCUGACGGAGCAACGCCGCGUGAGGGAUGAAGGCCUCUGGGCUGUAAACCUCUUUUAUCAAGGAAGAAGAUCUGACGGUACUUGAUGAAUAAGCC